RNAcentral lists this ribosomal RNA (255 nucleotides) under Klebsiella sp. RLT01. RNAcentral's name for it is "Raoultella sp. RLT01 partial 23S ribosomal RNA". It matches the Rfam family "Bacterial large subunit ribosomal RNA", at positions 1657 to 1895 of the family's 2925-position model. Lineage: Bacteria; Pseudomonadati; Pseudomonadota; Gammaproteobacteria; Enterobacterales; Enterobacteriaceae. The record is from RNAcentral.
ACACAGGUGGUCAGGUAGAGAAUACCAAGGCGCUUGAGAGAACUCGGGUGAAGGAACUAGGCAAAAUGGUGCCGUAACUUCGGGAGAAGGCACGCUGAUGGUAGGUGAAGUGACUUGCUCAUGGAGCCGAAAUCAGUCGAAGAUACCAGCUGGCUGCAACUGUUUAUUAAAAACACAGCACUGUGCAAACACGAAAGUGGACGUAUACGGUGUGACGCCUGCCCGGUGCCGGAAGGUUAAUUGAUGGGGUUAUCC